This 492-nucleotide ribosomal RNA is filed under the name uncultured bacterium. Its description in RNAcentral is "partial 16S ribosomal RNA". It matches the Rfam family "Bacterial small subunit ribosomal RNA", at positions 29 to 507 of the family's 1533-position model. The record is from RNAcentral.
AGUGAACGCUGGCGGUAGGCCUAACACAUGCAAGUCGAACGGCAGCACAGUAAGAGCUUGCUCUUACGGGUGGCGAGUGGCGGACGGGUGAGGAAUACAUCGGAAUCUACUUUUUCGUGGGGGAUAACGUAGGGAAACUUACGCUAAUACCGCAUACGACCUACGGGUGAAAGCAGGGGAUCUUCGGACCUUGCGCGAUUGAAUGAGCCGAUGUCGGAUUAGCUAGUUGGCGGGGUAAAGGCCCACCAAGGCGACGAUCCGUAGCUGGUCUGAGAGGAUGGUCAGCCACACUGGAACUGAGACACGGUCCAGACUCCUACGGGAGGCAGCAGUGGGGAAUAUUGGACAAUGGGCGCAAGCCUGAUCCAGCCAUACCGCGUGGGUGAAGAAGGUCUUCGGGUUGUAAAGCCCUUUUGUUGGGAAAGAAAAGCAGCAGGUUAAUACCCCGCUGUUCUGACGGUACCCAAAGAAUAAGCACCGGCUAACUUCGUG